This 465-nucleotide ribosomal RNA is filed under the name uncultured bacterium. Its description in RNAcentral is "partial 16S ribosomal RNA". It matches the Rfam family "Bacterial small subunit ribosomal RNA", at positions 338 to 795 of the family's 1533-position model. The record is from RNAcentral.
CCUACGGGAGGCAGCAGUGGGGAAUAUUGCGCAAUGGGCGAAAGCCUGACGCAGCGACGCAGCGUGAGGGAUGAAGGUCUUCGGAUCGUAAACCUCUUUCAGCAGGGAAGAAAGGUCACUGUGCUAAUCAGCAGUGAAUUGACGGUACCUGCAAAGGAAGCACCGGCUAACUCCGUGCCAGCAGCCGCGGUAAUACGGAGGGUGCGAGCGUUAAUCGGAAUUACUGGGCGUAAAGCGAUCGUAGGCGGUAUGUCAAGUCAAGGGUGAAAUCCCCGCGCUCAACGUGGGAACUGCCUUUGAAACUGGCAAGCUGGAGUGUGUGGGAGGCAAGUGGAAUUCCAGGUGUAGGAGUGAAAUCCGUAGAUAUCUGGAGGAACAUCAGUGGCGAAGGCGACUAUCUGGCACAUAACUGACGCUGAGGAGCGAAAGCGUGGGUAGCAAACAGGAUUAGAUACCCGAGUAGUC